GGGGAUUUAGCUCAGCAGUAGAGCGCUUGCCUAGCAAGCACAAGGCCCUGGGUUCGAUCCCCAGCUCCG
This is a non-coding RNA of Rattus norvegicus (Norway rat), 69 nucleotides long. The record is from Rfam. Lineage: Eukaryota; Metazoa; Chordata; Mammalia; Rodentia; Muridae.